RNAcentral lists this ribosomal RNA (510 nucleotides) under bacterium enrichment culture clone ALO1_GLFRUDD03F18RH. RNAcentral describes it as "bacterial SSU rRNA". It matches the Rfam family "Bacterial small subunit ribosomal RNA", at positions 9 to 512 of the family's 1533-position model. The record is from RNAcentral.
GAGUUUGAUCCUGGCUCAGAUUGAACGCUGGCGGCAUGCCUUACACAUGCAAGUCGAACGGCAGCACGGGAGCUUGCUCCUGGUGGCGAGUGGCGAACGGGUGAGUAAUGCAUCGGAACGUAUCCUGGAGUGGGGGAUAACGUAGCGAAAGUUACGCUAAUACCGCAUAUUCUGUGAGCAGGAAAGCGGGGGACCUUCGGGCCUCGCGCUCUUGGAGCGGCCGAUGUCGGAUUAGCUAGUUGGUGGGGUAAUGGCUCACCAAGGCGACGAUCCGUAACUGGUCUGAGAGGAUGAUCAGUCACACUGGAACUGAGACACGGUCCAGACUCCUACGGGAGGCAGCAGUGGGGAAUAUUGGACAAUGGGCGAAAGCCUGAUCCAGCCAUGCCGCGUGUGUGAAGAAGGUCUCCGGAUUGUAAAGCACUUUAAGUUGGGAGGAAGGGCAGUAAGUUAAUACCUUGCUGUUUUGACGUUACCGACAGAAUAAGCACCGGCUAACUCUGUGCCACG